Small nuclear RNA from Leptonychotes weddellii (Weddell seal), 107 nucleotides. The record is from RefSeq and is a predicted model, not a curated record. Lineage: Eukaryota; Metazoa; Chordata; Mammalia; Carnivora; Phocidae.
GUGCUUGUUUCGGCAGCACAUACGCUAAAAUUGAAACGAUACAGAGAAGAUUAGUAUGGCUCCUGCAUAAGGAUGACAUGCAAAUACAUAAAGUGUUUCAUAUUUUU